RNAcentral lists this ribosomal RNA (315 nucleotides) under uncultured eukaryote. RNAcentral describes it as "partial 18S ribosomal RNA". It matches the Rfam family "Eukaryotic small subunit ribosomal RNA", at positions 1470 to 1796 of the family's 1831-position model. The record is from RNAcentral.
CCCUUAGACGUUCUGGGCCGCACGCGCGCUACACUGACCAGUGCAACAAGCAUCCGUCCUUGGCCGACAAGCUCGGGCAAUCUUUGAACGCUGGUCGUGAUGGGGAUAGACUUUUGCAAUUUUUGGUCUUCAACGAGGAAUUCCUAGUAAACGCAAGUCAUCAACCUGCAUUGAUUACGUCCCUGCCCUUUGUACACACCGCCCGUCGCACCUACCGAUUGAAUGGUCCGGUGAAGCCUCCGGAUUGGCGCGCACCUCGGUGCCGCCGAGAAGUUGGCUAAACCUUACCAUUUAGAGGAAGGUGAAGUCGUAACA